This 70-nucleotide ribosomal RNA is filed under the name Fusarium oxysporum. RNAcentral describes it as "partial 28S ribosomal RNA". It matches the Rfam family "Eukaryotic large subunit ribosomal RNA", at positions 1 to 67 of the family's 3401-position model. The record is from RNAcentral. Lineage: Eukaryota; Fungi; Ascomycota; Sordariomycetes; Hypocreales; Nectriaceae.
UGUUGACCUCGGAUCAGGUAGGAAUACCCGCUGAACUUAAGCAUAUCAAUAAGCGGAGGAAAAGAAACCA